This 30-nucleotide non-coding RNA is filed under the name Mus musculus (house mouse). Lineage: Eukaryota; Metazoa; Chordata; Mammalia; Rodentia; Muridae. The record is from RNAcentral.
UCUUGAAUGAUUCCCAGGAAGUUUAUGGAA